Molecule: non-coding RNA, 103 nt
Organism: Pelobates cultripes (western spadefoot toad)
Lineage: Eukaryota; Metazoa; Chordata; Amphibia; Anura; Pelobatidae
Source: the annotation of a GenBank genome assembly
AUGCUCGCUUUGACAACACAUAUACUAAAAUUGGAACAAUACAGAGAUUAGCAUCACUGUACUACUGAGGAUACUUACCCUCAAAUAAACAUAAUUCUCACUU